GAUGAACGCUGGCGGCGUGCCUAAUACAUGCAAGUCGAGCGAACGGACGAGAAGCUUGCUUUUCUGAUGUUAGCGGCGGACGGGUGAGUAACACGUGGAUAACCUACCUAUAAGACUGGGAUAACUUCGGGAAACCGGAGCUAAUACCGGAUAAUAUUUUGAACCGCAUGGUUCAAAAGUGAAAGACGGUCUUGCUGUCACUUAUAGAUGGAUCCGCGCUGCAUUAGCUAGUUGGUAAGGUAACGGCUUACCAAGGCAACGAUGCAUAGCCGACCUGAGAGGGUGAUCGGCCACACUGGAACUGAGACACGGUCCAGACUCCUACGGGAGGCAGCAGUAGGGAAUCUUCGGCAAUGGGCGAAAGCCUGACGGAGCAACGCCGCGUGAGUGAUGAAGGUCUUCGGAUCGUAAAACUCUGUUAUUAGGGAAGAACAUAUGUGUAAGUAACUGUGCACAUCUUGACGGUACCUAAUCAGAAAGCCACGGCUAACUACGUG
This 497-nucleotide ribosomal RNA is filed under the name uncultured bacterium. RNAcentral's name for it is "partial 16S ribosomal RNA". It matches the Rfam family "Bacterial small subunit ribosomal RNA", at positions 28 to 507 of the family's 1533-position model. The record is from RNAcentral.